This is a long non-coding RNA of Salvia splendens (bonfire salvia), 1053 nucleotides long. RefSeq lists it as uncharacterized. The transcript has 2 exons. NCBI's taxonomy places the organism in Eukaryota, Viridiplantae, Streptophyta, Magnoliopsida, Lamiales, Lamiaceae. The record is from RefSeq and is a predicted model, not a curated record.
UGUUGCCUCCAAGAGCUGCUGAUAUUUUGGAUGGGAAAAUGAUGAUUCAUCCAAUCCGGAGCUCAAAUGAGUCGUGUGCAGGAGAAGCCGUGCUUCUGCUUCCCCCAGAUUAAAGUCAGUUGUCUCAUUGUAGAGCUUCUUGGCAAUGGCGGUCUUGUGUGACCCUCCCAUUCCCCAGACUGAUAUAAUUCAAUCCUCUAUAUCUUUCCCUAGGUAAUGAACAAGCUACUCUACCUCAUCCUCCAUGCCUAGGAAUCAAUCUGCCAUCUCCAAAUUGGGGAAAGUCUUCUUGGACAUCUUGUUUCCAGCCGAGCUUUCCCCUUCUCUAUUUGGAUUGAUGAUUAUGCUUCUUUUUAUGAUGUUUCCUCUCCAGAUUCGAUGUAAUUUGUGAAAUCUCGGAGCCUAAUUGAUGGAGUGAGCUGCAAUCUGUCAAAAUGCAGGAAUAUUUGUGAAUGAACUGUGUGAGGCCUCUUCUCCUUGAAGAGACUUGAUAAGCUGCGUAUAUUUCAAUGGCGGAUUCGGAUCUGUAGAUGAGAUCUCUGAUCUCUGAGAUCCAAUUGGAGAUUGUUCUGUUUUUAUGUCGUCUUUUGUCAGCAUCUAGGAGGAAACACUUCAUCUCUUUGAGCUGCCUCUCGAGCUCCUUGACUUGAUCGACCGCACCAGCUAAAGAAACUUUCGUAGUUGCUGGUAUGAUUUUCUUGGAGAAGAGUUGGGGAUGAAAGAAGGUUGAAUGACAAAGGGUAUGAAAGGUAUAGUUUUCUAUUUCUAGGUACACAAUACAAGUCGGGAUUGCUAUCCCACAAAAAUUGUAAGAUACAAACCCACACAUUUCCAGCCUAUUUCAGCGGGCCUAGAUAGGCCAUAUCAAUAAACAAGGGAUGGUGUGGUGGGCUAAAUAGGUUAUCAAACAGAUGGAAAUAUGGAGAUACAUAUUUAUUUCUAGGCAUUACUUAGUUAUCAAACGAGACCUAAAUGUCUUUGUGUUGACAUAUAUAACAUAAGUUGUUGAAAUAGUUGUUAGUUUAUAAAUUUUAAAAAGUUAUCAAUCGAUCA